AUUGAACGCUGGCGGCAUGCCUUACACAUGCAAGUCGAACGGUAACAGGUCUUCGGAUGCUGACGAGUGGCGAACGGGUGAGUAAUACAUCGGAACGUGCCCAGACGUGGGGGAUAACGAGGCGAAAGCUUUGCUAAUACCGCAUACGAUCUAAGGAUGAAAGCAGGGGACCGCAAGGCCUUGCGCGUUUGGAGCGGCCGAUGGCAGAUUAGGUAGUUGGUGGGAUAUAAGCUUACCAAGCCGACGAUCUGUAGCUGGUCUGAGAGGACGACCAGCCACACUGGGACUGAGACACGGCCCAGACUCCUACGGGAGGCAGCAGUGGGGAAUUUUGGACAAUGGGCGAAAGCCUGAUCCAGCAAUGCCGCGUGCAGGAUGAAGGCCUUCGGGUUGUAAACUGCUUUUGUACGGAACGAAAAGGCUCUGGCUAAUACCUGGGGCACAUGACGGUACCGUAAGAAUAAGCACCGGCUAACUACGUG
Molecule: ribosomal RNA, 482 nt
Filed under: uncultured bacterium
Lineage: Bacteria
Description: partial 16S ribosomal RNA
Rfam family: Bacterial small subunit ribosomal RNA
Source: RNAcentral